AGAGUUUGAUCCUGGCUCAGGACGAACGCUGGCGGCGUGCCUAAUACAUGCAAGUCGAGCGGAUCUUGUCCUUCGGGACAAGGUUAGCGGCGGACGGGUGAGUAACACGUAGGCAACCUGCCCUCAAGACUGGGAUAACCUCCGGAAACGGAUGCUAAUACCGGAUAUGCGGUCUCUCCUCCUGGAGGGAUCGGGAAAGACGGAGCAAUCUGUCGCUUGGGGAUGGGCCUGCGGCGCAUUAGCUAGUUGGUGAGGUAACGGCUCACCAAGGCGACGAUGCGUAGCCGACCUGAGAGGGUGAUCGGCCACACUGGGACUGAGACACGGCCCAGACUCCUACGGGAGGCAGCAGUAGGGAAUCUUCCGCAAUGGACGCAAGUCUGACGGAGCAACGCCGCGUGAGUGAGGAAGGCCUUCGGGUCGUAAAGCUCUGUUGCCAGGGAAGAACGGGUGGAAGAGUAACUGCUUCCGCCAUGACGGUACCUGAGAAGAAAGCCCCGGCU
Molecule: ribosomal RNA, 503 nt
Filed under: potato endoplant bacterium B9
Lineage: Bacteria; Bacillati; Bacillota; Bacilli; Caryophanales
Description: bacterial SSU rRNA
Rfam family: Bacterial small subunit ribosomal RNA
Source: RNAcentral